GUCCCGCCUCCCACUGGGCGCCGGCGAUUUGACGCUUCUUGGAAGGUGCCCAACGGGGCCCGCUAAUUUGCGAGGAGGCGGUCUCAGGAACCCUUCCGCGCCUUCCGCGGUUUAAGGAGGAUGGUGAUACAGUAGAUUAAGCAUUGGGCAGCUAACUGCAAGGCCAGUGGUUCAAGUCCACCAGCUGCAUUUUAGGAGAAAGGCACAACCUUUGUCCCUGCUGUCUGAAGUACACAAACAUAAUGUAGAACAAAUGCUUGUCAAGCAUGUCUGGAGUCUUCCUGUGGAGAAGAUGCAUGACCACAUUGUCACCGCUUCAAAAAUCCUUCAUGGAUAAAUCAAGACUGUUUUCCUGUCAAUCUAUGUGCUUGACAAAUGGAAUUGGCUUCUCGAAAUUAAGGAGGAGCUGAGGAAAAAAAAGAAGCCAGGAACUCCCCAGACAAGCAUUGCUCAGCAGAGUAGACCUCUGCUCUGAUUCCAAAAGCAGGCAGAUUAAGACUUAAACAGCUUUCCUGUUGAUGUCUUCAAGGAUCCAUUAGAACUGUGACAUCAGAACCUGAACUUGCAUCUAGAACCAUGUGGGAGAAACAUGACUGCAUAUUUCGAGGAUGUAUAUGAUAUAUCAUGGCAUUAUUUGGAUUAAGAAGUUGCAAGCAAUUUUGAUUUUCACCCCUUGGGAAAUGCAUCAUCAGAAUGUUGUUGUGAACAUUCAAUAAAAUAUAACAUAGUGAUAAGAAGUAGUUAAUCAUUAAUAUUGUAAUAAGGAUAGCUCUUGGAAUGAGAGAAUGAGUUCUAUAGGACAAUAAUUUAUAUAAAUUUAAACACAAAAAUAUUAUUUUUCAGAGUGUAAUUCAGGUACGUUGCGACAUUCAUUAGAUAUGUUUGAGUGGACAUUUUUUAUAGAGAGGGCACUGUAAAUGGGAAUGGAUAAAGCUCAGGGAAACGAAUGAAAUAAAAUAAGAGCAUUGCACAGGUCCAUUAAAAACAAUGUGAUGUGAUAUCUGUGUACAUAUGGGCUGUAUAAGCCAUGGGUAAUGCAUGCAUGUCCUAAUUUUAAGUCUGAAUAUCUACAGCAAAAGGAUGUACAUGUUUUAGGGAAGAUUUGAAUACCUAAUGUAGAAGACAGAUGGAUAUUUGAUGAAUGUAAAUUCUUGAUUUUAAUAUAUUUCUUCACCUAAAGUGUUAGAAAUAAGUCAUAAAUUUGCCUCAGUGUAGGGAAUGUGUGAAAAUCUGUAAAUGUGAGAUUUAAUAUGCAGGGAGAAUUGUUCUGUAAACUUGGAAAAUGCAGAUAGUUUGUCAAAAGUGUGUCUCUUUGAUGGGUUGAGUUUCACGUACUCUAUUAGGCAGUAAUUGAAAAGCAUCCAUUUGAUUCUUCUGGUAACAUAAUCCCAUUAAACAUGCUCACUGACUUAGCCUUUUAUUAAUCAAUAAAAAUUCCCCUAUCAUGAAUUCUUGUGUAAACAAUAUACUAUCAAUUUUAGCUUUAAAAUGCUGUUCUAUCAUGCUCAAUGUAUUAUAUUUUUCAAUUGCUUUUGUGUGCUUGGUAAUAAUCUUAGGCUUUUUAAUAAUAUCCUCCUGGUAACAUGCCAUUUUGCCAAUAUUGUACUUAAUAAAUCUUACUAUAUAAUCAAAUGCAGGUUGAAUUCUAUGGACUAUAAUAUUCAAAAGGCUUUUCAAUCUAGUUCUUAAAUGCUUCCUCCUCACC
Long non-coding RNA from Echinops telfairi (small Madagascar hedgehog), 1705 nucleotides. RefSeq lists it as uncharacterized. The transcript is spliced from 4 exons. NCBI's taxonomy places the organism in Eukaryota, Metazoa, Chordata, Mammalia, Afrosoricida, Tenrecidae. The record is from RefSeq and is a predicted model, not a curated record.